UACGUAGGGUGCAAGCGUUAAUCGGAAUUACUGGGCGUAAAGCGUGCGCAGGCGGUUUUGUAAGUCUGACGUGAAAUCCCCGCGCUCAACCUGGGAAUUGCGUUGGAGACUGCAAGGCUAGAAUCUGGCAGAGGGGGGUAGAAUUCCACGUGUAGCAGUGAAAUGCGUAGAGAUGUGGAGGAACACCGAUGGCGAAGGCAGCCCCCUGGGUCAAGAUUGACGCUCAUGCACGAAAGCGUGGGGAGCAAACAGG
RNAcentral lists this ribosomal RNA (253 nucleotides) under uncultured bacterium. RNAcentral describes it as "partial 16S ribosomal RNA". It matches the Rfam family "Bacterial small subunit ribosomal RNA", at positions 524 to 776 of the family's 1533-position model. The record is from RNAcentral.